This 244-nucleotide ribosomal RNA is filed under the name uncultured bacterium. RNAcentral describes it as "partial 16S ribosomal RNA". It matches the Rfam family "Bacterial small subunit ribosomal RNA", at positions 96 to 334 of the family's 1533-position model. The record is from RNAcentral.
CGGCGGACUGGUGAGUAACACGUGGAUAACGUACCCCGAUGCCCGGGACAGCCUGUGAAAUAGAGGGUGAUACCGGAUAGAUCACUGUAUACGGAAGGUAGACAGCGGGAAAGGAGCUUCGGCUCCGCGCCGGGAACGGUCUGCGGCCCAUCAGCUGGACGGCGGGGUAACGGCCCGCCGUGGCGAGGACGGGUAUCCGGCCUGAGAGGGCGGACGGACACAUUGGGACUGAGAUACGGCCCAG